This 567-nucleotide ribosomal RNA is filed under the name uncultured bacterium. RNAcentral describes it as "bacterial SSU rRNA". It matches the Rfam family "Bacterial small subunit ribosomal RNA", at positions 97 to 683 of the family's 1533-position model. The record is from RNAcentral.
GGCGGACGGGUGAGUAACACGUAGGUGACCUGCCAUCGAGUGAGGGAUACCAGCGAGAAAUCGCUGACAAGACCGCAUACGUUCUCCCCCCCAAAGGGAGAAGAAAGUCGAAAGACGCUCGAUGAGGGGCCUGCGCCCGAUUAGCCAGUUGGUGGGGUAAAGGCCUACCAAAGCGACGAUCGGUAGCUGGUCUGAGAGGACGAGCAGCCACACUGGGAUUGAGAACGGCCCAGACUCCUACGGGGGGCAGCAGUGAGGAAUUUUCGUCAAUGGGGGCAACCCUGAACGAGCAACGCCGCGUGCAGGAAGACGCUUUUCGGAGUGUAAACUGCUUUUCUCUGGGACGAGACAAAGGACGGUACCAGAGGAAGAAGCCCCGGCUAACUACGUGCCAGCAGCCGCGGUAAUACGUAGGGGGCAAGCGUUGUCCGGAGUUACUGGGCGUAAAGGGCACGCAGGCGGUCUUCCAAGUUUUCGGUGACAGUGCCCGGCUUACCUGGGCAAGGACCGGAAAAACUGGGAGACUUGAGGACUUGAGAGGGACACGGAAUUCCGGGUGGAGUGGUG